This 316-nucleotide long non-coding RNA is filed under the name Canis lupus dingo (dingo). RNAcentral describes it as "lncRNA (ENSCAFG00020002952.1)". Lineage: Eukaryota; Metazoa; Chordata; Mammalia; Carnivora; Canidae. The record is from RNAcentral.
GUGGCUACCAUGCUGGUGGACCUGGAGAGGGAGCUAGAUGAAUCACAGCAUGAGGUGGUAGCUACACACAGGGGCAAGAAGUCCUCUCCAGAGGGACAGUGCCUCUGGGACAGCAGACAUCACUGAGGCUUCAGUCCCAGCCCAGAGGACCCCAGCCCACAUGGGAUGCUGCUCAGGAGGCCCAUCCCUGGAGAGACAGCCAUCUUUUCCUUUAUUCUGCCUUCCAAGCUGUAUCUAGAACCUACUGGGGACUCCUUUCUUCAGGACGCACAUCUGAGCAUGUCCUUGCUCCCAUCUGCCCAUUGCUCGCCGCCUC